This is a long non-coding RNA of Sorghum bicolor (sorghum), 670 nucleotides long. RefSeq lists it as uncharacterized. The record is from RefSeq and is a predicted model, not a curated record. Lineage: Eukaryota; Viridiplantae; Streptophyta; Magnoliopsida; Poales; Poaceae. The transcript is spliced from 2 exons.
UUUUUUUAGGAUACCUCUGUCCAAGCUUUGACUCGGUUUUCUAUAACUAACAUAAUACUUCUGAUAAUUAUGGGAAACUCACUGAGUAGGCUGGUGCUACAUAUUUAAUGAAUGAUAGUUAUAUUGUAACAAACUUAGCUGAGCUCACCUUCAGAAGUUAGAGUGGCAAAGUAUUGUACUAUUUUCAUAAGUGCAGAAGAAAAAUGGUUUGAUUUCCCUUAGUUUUCAAAGGCCAUUUUGCUUUUUUUGGGCACUUUGUAUAUCUGUCUUAUGAGUAGCAUGUGGUUCCUUUUUCAGCAUGAAUUCAUCCGCCACAAAGCUUGGCAGUGAACUGGUAAAUAAGGGGGUGACUACUUGCAGUUGAGGGUUUGUCUUUAAGUAAAUGCGGCUCUGGCGUCAGCAAGUCCAACCUCCUCUCCCGCUUCACCAGGCGGGUACCGGGCGUUAGCGUCGUCGAGUUCGCCACCCACAGUCUCUAGGUCGACGGCAAGGGUCUAAACUUUGGAGAGGAAAAACUGAAGCAGCUAGACUGAAGCAGUUGGGUACUUGGUAAUCACUAGAAUGCCAUUAUGCCCUUACAUAUGUGCUGCUUGAGACCCUACAUUUGUAAUGAAUUGAUAGAUUGAUGUAAUGAUAUUGUAUUUACUGUGAAGAUGUUAAUUCAUUUGGA